Molecule: transfer RNA, 79 nt
Filed under: Phytophthora infestans (potato late blight agent)
Lineage: Eukaryota; Oomycota; Peronosporomycetes; Peronosporales; Peronosporaceae
Description: tRNA-Pro
Rfam family: tRNA (bases 14-71)
About the family: Transfer RNA (tRNA) molecules are approximately 80 nucleotides in length. Their secondary structure includes four short double-helical elements and three loops (D, anti-codon, and T loops).
Source: RNAcentral
GGCAACACCCUUUUAGCUCAGUGGUCAAGCGUUGGCUUUGGAAGCCACAGGGCGGUGGUUCGAUUCCACGCGGGCGCCA